This 440-nucleotide ribosomal RNA is filed under the name uncultured bacterium. RNAcentral describes it as "partial 16S ribosomal RNA". It matches the Rfam family "Bacterial small subunit ribosomal RNA", at positions 338 to 795 of the family's 1533-position model. The record is from RNAcentral.
CCUACGGGAGGCAGCAGUGGGGAAUAUUGCACAAUGGGGGAAACCCUGACGCAGCGACGCCGCGUGAGGGAUGAAGUACUUCGGUAUAUAAAGCUCUAUCAGCAGGGAAGAACAUGCCUGUACCUGAUUAGCAAGCACCUGCUAACUACGUGCCAGCAGCCGCGGUCAUACGUAGGGGGCAAGCGCUAACCGGAUUUACUGGGUGGAAAGGGCGCGUAGACGGCAGCACAUGUCGGGGGUGAAUUGCCUGGGCUUAACCCCGGAACUGCUUUGGAAACUGUCCAGCUAGAGUGCCUGAGAGGUAAGUGGAAUUCCUAGUGUAGCGGUGAAAUGCGUAGAUAUUAGGAGGAACACCAGUGGCGAAGGCGGCUUACUGGAAUAUAACUGACGCUGAGGCGCGAAAGCGUGGGGAGCAAACAGGAUUAGAUACCCGUGUAGUC